AUUGAACGCUGGCGGCAGGCCUAACACAUGCAAGUCGAGCGGAUGAAGGGAGCUUGCUCCUGGAUUCAGCGGCGGACGGGUGAGUAAUGCCUAGGAAUCUGCCUGGUAGUGGGGGAUAACGUCUGGAAACGGGCGCUAAUACCGCAUACGUCCUGAGGGAGAAAGUGGGGGAUCUUCGGACCUCACGCUAUCAGAUGAGCCUAGGUCGGAUUAGCUAGUUGGUGGGGUAAAGGCCUACCAAGGCGACGAUCCGUAACUGGUCUGAGAGGAUGAUCAGUCACACUGGAACUGAAACACGGUCCAGACUCCUAAGGGAGGCAGCAGUGGGGAAUAUUGGACAAUGGGCGAAAGCCUGAUCCAGCCAUGCCGCGUGUGUGAAGAAGGUCUUCGGAUUGUAAAGCACUUUAAGUUGGGAGGAAGGGCAGUAAGUUAAUACCUUGCUGUUUUGACGUUACCAACAGAAUAAGCACCGGCUAACUUCGUG
This 484-nucleotide ribosomal RNA is filed under the name uncultured bacterium. Its description in RNAcentral is "partial 16S ribosomal RNA". It matches the Rfam family "Bacterial small subunit ribosomal RNA", at positions 30 to 507 of the family's 1533-position model. The record is from RNAcentral.